This 778-nucleotide long non-coding RNA is filed under the name Mustela putorius furo (domestic ferret). RNAcentral's name for it is "lncRNA (ENSMPUG00000027953.1)". The record is from RNAcentral. Lineage: Eukaryota; Metazoa; Chordata; Mammalia; Carnivora; Mustelidae.
CUGAGCUGAGAGUGGGGAAGGAGGAGGGGGGCGCCCCUCUUACUAAUCACUGCAUGAACUUGCACAUGGUUUGAACUUUUUAUAAAGAGCAGGUCAUCUUGUAUUACUUUCUUAAUCUUCAAGACAUCAAAAAGAAUGUAUAGGCAAGAGAAAGGAUUCUAUUUCUAUAGAAGAAAUGUAUCAUAAUUGGACAGUAUCUGCCAACAGACAGAAAAGUUUCUGACUUUUGCUAUGAGAAUUUCAUUUCUGGAAUUCUAUCCUGGAAAGGGGGGGAAAAAAAAGCAGAGGAGAGCAAAAUUCUAUGUAAAAAUGUUUUUAAAGUAUUACUUCUAAUAACAGAUAAACUGGAAAGAAACUAAAUGCCCAACAGAGAACAGAGAUGGGACAGCUUCAUGAUGGCCUGAGGCAGUGCCAUUUAAAAUAUUUUUGAAAGGUCACUAGCAGCAGGAGGAGAUGAUCCUUACCUGUUUCUGGCCUAUAAACCUAACUAGUCACAUGUAUGAAACCACAGGUGACCUCCUCCCUACCACCACCGCCCGAGAAGAUACAAAGAAUCUUUGAAGAGUUGGCACCUUUGGAGCAAGGUUUCAAGAUUACGGCAGAUGGAGUUUCACCAGUGACGGCCUGCCUGCCUUACAACCACCUUAACGGUCCCACUGUCCUGAGUUCAAGGAGAGAUAAGGGGCUGCAGGAGACCCACUACAAGAAGCCAGCUAAUGAAUGUAACAGACCCAAACUCUUAAUGGCUUAGCCCCAAAUCCCAACUGAAGCCACUUCC